RNAcentral lists this ribosomal RNA (497 nucleotides) under uncultured bacterium. Its description in RNAcentral is "partial 16S ribosomal RNA". It matches the Rfam family "Bacterial small subunit ribosomal RNA", at positions 28 to 507 of the family's 1533-position model. The record is from RNAcentral.
GAUGAACGCUGGCGGCGUGCCUAAUACAUGCAAGUCGAGCGAACAGACGAGGAGCUUGCUCCUCUGACGUUAGCGGCGGACGGGUGAGUAACACGUGGAUAACCUACCUAUAAGACUGGGAUAACUUCGGGAAACCGGAGCUAAUGCCGGAUAAUAUAUUGAACCGCAUGGUUCAAUAGUGAAAGACGGUUUUGCUGUCACUUAUAGAUGGAUCCGCGCCGCAUUAGCUAGUUGGUGAGGUAACGGCUUACCAAGGCAACGAUGCGUAGCCGACCUGAGAGGGUGAUCGGCCACACUGGAACUGAGACACGGUCCAGACUCCUACGGGAGGCAGCAGUAGGGAAUCUUCCGCAAUGGGCGAAAGCUUGACGGAGCAACGCCGCGUGAGUGAUGAAGGUCUUCGGAUCGUAAAACUCUGUUAUUAGGGAAGAACAAAUGUGUAAGUAACUAUGCACGUCUUGACGGUACCUAAUCAGAAAGCCACGGCUAACUACGUG